Molecule: long non-coding RNA, 1223 nt
Organism: Astatotilapia calliptera (eastern happy)
Lineage: Eukaryota; Metazoa; Chordata; Actinopteri; Cichliformes; Cichlidae
Source: Ensembl
GAAAAAAUAUUUUCUACCUGGGGUGUUGCAUCUUAGAUAGAACAUUUUAAUUGGUUGUUUAAAUCCACCAGUUGCCUCUAUUAUCAGAAGUACCGCAACUGGUGAAUACUCUUUGUUUAGUUGGGUCGCACAUCACCAGCUGCAAGUUCCUCCUCCUAUUUUCUUGCAUACUUUGCUGGGAACUGUGCUCUGCUGUCUACUGUCCCUUUUCUGUGUAACUCAUCUUCGAAGUCGGACGCCCAGCUCUAACUCAUCUCUCAGACAUGCCCGGACUUGUCUCUUUGUGGGAGGACAAUAUUGGGGGGGAGGGCAUUAUGGUCAAUAUGAUAUGGCACAGACUUUACAUUAAAUGCACCUGUUUAAAUCGGUACAGUCUAAAGCAGUCUGGAUAAACUCUGUACAUGCGAAAUAUUAUUUUGGAGGCUGUAGAUUUUAUUGCUAUUGAAUUUCUACUGUGCUGUGUAUCAAACUGGUUAAAAGGCAUAUAUGUGCCAUCUGUGCCAUCAUGAAUUCACAGCAUGCAGUAUAAGACUUCUGACCCGAUGCCCAGCAGAGGGACUUCCCAUUACAAUCCUGGCCGUGGACCUAUUGGAUUGAUUUUAAUGGCUGUUCUCUUUCUGAUUGGGAUUGGAGCACUGUGAUCUUCUGAGACUUUGGAUCUUCAACAUUUAUCCCUCAGCAUGAAACAUCACGCUGAAACAUCAUUUUUUUUUUUUUACUCAUAGAUACUUACUUUCUGUCUUAAAAUGUUUUUAACUGUAUUGGCACAGCAUAAUGGCCAAAUAGGAUGUGUUUUAUUGCAUAUGCUUAAGCCCAAAGAAGUCGCCUUUUUUUUAGAAAAACAAUUUCCAUAAUAACUGGUUAUUUUUCUGUAAAUCACCUUCAUGCUUAUUUGGCUUAUCAGACUUCAGCUUUACUUGACAGCAAAUAAUUAUGUUUGAAACGCAUAUACAUAUCUGGCCUUAAUUAUAAACACAUCUGCAUAUCAAGCUGCAUAUGGUUCAUGUUCUUUUUCAUAACAGACACUGGAACAGAAUAUAAUGUGCUCAGUUAAUAAUCAGAAGAGUGUACAUCAUGGGAAAUCCCUCAGCUGCUAGGGCUUGCAGGAUCAGUGCAGCCAUUUCACUGUGGCAGAUGUAGUGUAUUUUGUUCCCAUACCUAUAUUUUUGCUUAAAAAUAUUUUAAUGGACAGUUAUAUGAAAUGUUAUUUUUUGUCAGAACGC